GGACAGGUGGCGGAGUGGUCGAUCGCGUCGGUCUCGAAAACCGAAGUAGGUGCAAGCCUACCGUGGGUUCGAAUCCCACCCUGUCCGCCA
RNAcentral lists this transfer RNA (90 nucleotides) under Roseococcus suduntuyensis. Its description in RNAcentral is "tRNA-Ser". It matches the Rfam family "tRNA". From Rfam's summary of the family: Transfer RNA (tRNA) molecules are approximately 80 nucleotides in length. Their secondary structure includes four short double-helical elements and three loops (D, anti-codon, and T loops). Further hydrogen bonds mediate the characteristic L-shaped molecular structure. tRNAs have two regions of fundamental functional importance: the anti-codon, which is responsible for specific mRNA codon recognition, and the 3' end, to which the tRNAs corresponding amino acid is attached (by aminoacyl-tRNA synthetases). tRNAs cope with the degeneracy of the genetic code in two manners: having more than one tRNA (with a specific anti-codon) for a particular amino acid; and 'wobble' base-pairing, i.e. permitting non-standard base-pairing at the 3rd anti-codon position. The record is from RNAcentral. RNAcentral also lists the same sequence under 5 other names. Lineage: Bacteria; Pseudomonadati; Pseudomonadota; Alphaproteobacteria; Acetobacterales; Roseomonadaceae.